GUAGAACGCUGAAGCUUGGUGCUUGCACCGAGCGGAUGAGUUGCGAACGGGUGAGUAACGCGUAGGUAACCUGCCUCUUAGCGGGGGAUAACUAUUGGAAACGAUAGCUAAUACCGCAUAAAAGUCGACAUCGCAUGAUGUUGACUUGAAAGGUGCAAUUGCAUCACUAAGAGAUGGACCUGCGUUGUAUUAGCUAGUUGGUGAGGUAACGGCUCACCAAGGCGACGAUACAUAGCCGACCUGAGAGGGUGAUCGGCCACACUGGGACUGAGACACGGCCCAGACUCCUACGGGAGGCAGCAGUAGGGAAUCUUCGGCAAUGGGGGCAACCCUGACCGAGCAACGCCGCGUGAGUGAAGAAGGUUUUCGGAUCGUAAAGCUCUGUUGUAAGAGAAGAACGAGUGUGAGAGUGGAAAGUUCACACUGUGACGGUAACUUACCAGAAAGGGACGGCUAACUACGUGCCAGCAGCCGCGGUAAUACGUAGGUCCCGAGCGUUAUCCGGAUUUAUUGGGCGUAAAGCGAGCGCAGGCGGUUAGAUAAGUCUGAAGUUAAAGGCUGUGGCUUAACCAUAGUACACUUUGGAAACUGUUUAACUCGAGUGCAGAAGGGGAGAGUGGAAUUCCAUGUGUAGCGGUGAAAUGCGUAGAUAUAUGGAGGAACACCGGUGGCGAAA
RNAcentral lists this ribosomal RNA (676 nucleotides) under uncultured Bacilli bacterium. Its description in RNAcentral is "bacterial SSU rRNA". It matches the Rfam family "Bacterial small subunit ribosomal RNA", at positions 61 to 720 of the family's 1533-position model. Lineage: Bacteria; Bacillati; Bacillota; Bacilli. The record is from RNAcentral.